UACGAAGGGGGCUAGCGUUGCUCGGAAUUACUGGGCGUAAAGGGCGCGUAGGCGGCCUUGUCAGUCGGACGUGAAAUUCCUGGGCUCAACCUGGGGACUGCGUUCGAUACGGCGAGGCUAGAGGACUGAAGAGGUUCGUUGAAUUCCCAGUGUAGAGGUGAAAUUCGUAGAUAUUGGGAAGAACACCGGUGGCGAAGGCAGCGAGCUGGUCCGUUACUGACGCUGAGGCGCGACAGCGUCGGGAGCAAACAGG
Molecule: ribosomal RNA, 253 nt
Filed under: uncultured bacterium
Lineage: Bacteria
Description: partial 16S ribosomal RNA
Rfam family: Bacterial small subunit ribosomal RNA
Source: RNAcentral